This 997-nucleotide long non-coding RNA is filed under the name Salvia miltiorrhiza (redroot sage). RNAcentral's name for it is "long non-coding RNA (SMIL_LNC006909)". The record is from RNAcentral. Lineage: Eukaryota; Viridiplantae; Streptophyta; Magnoliopsida; Lamiales; Lamiaceae.
UUCCCUACAAUAACUAAGCCUCCACUAUCAUUAUCUUUUACACCUUUCUAACAUUUCUUUACGUUAGUGGCUAGCACACUUAAGUGCACCACCAAAUCCCCUUUUCUUAAUUUAUCUAUCAACCUUUAAACCACCACCUCCAAAGGCUUUAUCAUUCAGCCAACAUACUAAUCAUUCAUUCUUCAAGAAUUCAGAGUAAGUACGUUGAUUCCUGCUGCCAAACUUCGAACAGGUAAGCUUUGGUUUAAGUUUUUUCCACCAGUCCAUUCUUGAUUCCCCUGCAUAUGUCAAUAAGCAUCUGAAAAUUUCAGCUAUCUCCUCAUUAAAUUCAAUAGCAACAAACAGCCACCAACAACAAGCAAUUACAGGUAUAUACUAAGCUCCCUUCAUUCGAAUCCCAUUUACAUUUCAUCCAACAAGCAUGAUUAAGUAGAAAUAUUGAAUGUAUAGAUGAGUAUAGGUUAUGGACUUAGCAAAGUCACAAGCACAGAAAUCAGUUCAUAUGUAAUUACAUUUCUUCACGCGAGCCACAAGCAAUGAGAACUCAUAUGAUACAGAAGCAAUCAAUACCUAGAUUAAUUUCUUGCCUUCACAAUAGACUAUUCAACCGGGGAAUGAAAACUAGAAUAAAGACCUUAUCCUUGCCUAAUUCACGUUAAGAACCGACUAUGGAGAAUAGUUUGACUUAGCUUUUAAGAGAGGGGAUGGCUGACUGCCUCGAUCGGUUUGAGACAGCUACGACAGGGGCGAACUCGCCCAAUCUCAUCAAGACCCGAGGACGGCAGCCACGGCGAUACCGAACUGGAGGGGGGGCGAAACCGACCGGUACCAGGGCCGGAGCAGCGGCCGCUCGACAGUAGCAAAUUCCUCUUUUCUGGAAACCAAGGCUAGAGGUCGGAGGGGGAAAUAUAGAGAAGGGAAAUGAGAUCGAACCGCUCCCAGACGGCGACCGCUUGCUGGAUUCCGGGCGAAGGAGUAGCAGCGACAGCGGCGAUGA